Molecule: long non-coding RNA, 465 nt
Organism: Oncorhynchus keta (chum salmon)
Lineage: Eukaryota; Metazoa; Chordata; Actinopteri; Salmoniformes; Salmonidae
Exons: 3
Source: RefSeq, a predicted model, not a curated record
GGGAUUCCUGCAUGGAGAAGGUACAGUAAACCACUUCAUUCAGACACUGUGAAGAUCACCAUGGUGAGAAACUUGACCAGCUCUGUCAUCAACCUGAAAGACUGAGGGAUUCCUGCAUGGAGAAGGUACAGUAAACCACUUCAUUCAGACACUGUGAAGAUCACCAUGGUGAGAAACUUGACCAGCUCUGUCAUCAACCUGAAAGACUGAGGGAUUCCUGCAUGGAGAAGGUACAGUAAACCACUUCAUUCAGACACUGUGAAGAUCACCAUGGUGAGAAACUUGACCAGCUCUGUCAUCAACCUGAAAGACUGAGGGAUUCCUGCAUGGAGAAGGUACAGUAAACCACUUCAUUCAGACACUGUGAAGAUCACCAUGGUGAGAAACUUGAUCAGCUCUGUCAUCAACCUGAAAGACUGAGGGAUUCCUGCAUGGAGAAGGUACAGUAAACCACUUCAUUCAGAC